This 497-nucleotide ribosomal RNA is filed under the name uncultured bacterium. RNAcentral's name for it is "partial 16S ribosomal RNA". It matches the Rfam family "Bacterial small subunit ribosomal RNA", at positions 28 to 507 of the family's 1533-position model. The record is from RNAcentral.
GAUGAACGCUGGCGGCGUGCCUAAUACAUGCAAGUCGAGCGAACAGACGAGGAGCUUGCUCCUCUGACGUUAGCGGCGGACGGGUGAGUAACACGUGGAUAACCUACCUAUAAGACUGGGAUAACUUCGGGAAACCGGAGCUAAUACCGGAUAAUAUAUUGAACCGCAUGGUUCAAUAGUGAAAGACGGUUUUGCUGGCACUUAUAGAUGGAUCCGCGCCGCAUUAGCUAGUUGGUAAGGUAACGGCUUACCAAGGCGACGAUGCGUAGCCGACCUGAGAGGGUGAUCGGCCACACUGGAACGUAGACACGGUCCAGACUCCUACGGGAGGCAGCAGUAGGGAAUCUUCCGCAAUGGGCGAAAGCCUGACGGAGCAACGCCGCGUGAGUGAUGAAGGUCUUCGGAUCGUAAAACUCUGUUAUUAGGGAAGAACAAAUGUGUAAGUAACUAUGCACGUCUUGACGGUACCUAAUCAGAAAGCCACGGCUAACUACGUG